This is a transfer RNA of Operophtera brumata (winter moth), 73 nucleotides long. It matches the Rfam family "tRNA". Rfam says of the family: Transfer RNA (tRNA) molecules are approximately 80 nucleotides in length. Their secondary structure includes four short double-helical elements and three loops (D, anti-codon, and T loops). The record is from Rfam. Lineage: Eukaryota; Metazoa; Arthropoda; Insecta; Lepidoptera; Geometridae.
CGUUCUAAGGCCAAAUUGGUAGAGGCAUCGCCAAUCACAGGCGAGAAUGAGGGUUCGAGUCCCGCUGUAACGG